AUUGAACGCUGGCGGCAGGCCUAACACAUGCAAGUCGAGCGGGGUUUUCGGACCUAGCGGCGGACGGGUGAGUAAUGCGUAGGAAGCUGCCCGAUAGAGGGGGAUACCAGUUGGAAACGACUGUUAAUACCGCAUAAUGUCUACGGACCAAAGUGUGGGACCUUCGGGCCACAUGCUGUCGGAUGCGCCUACGUGGGAUU
RNAcentral lists this ribosomal RNA (200 nucleotides) under uncultured bacterium. RNAcentral describes it as "partial 16S ribosomal RNA". It matches the Rfam family "Bacterial small subunit ribosomal RNA", at positions 30 to 242 of the family's 1533-position model. The record is from RNAcentral.